Molecule: transfer RNA, 115 nt
Filed under: Sphaerobolus stellatus SS14
Lineage: Eukaryota; Fungi; Basidiomycota; Agaricomycetes; Geastrales; Sphaerobolaceae
Rfam family: tRNA
About the family: Transfer RNA (tRNA) molecules are approximately 80 nucleotides in length.
Source: Rfam by way of RNAcentral
UGCCGCAUGGCUUAGUUGGCUAUAGCGUCCGACUGUUACUCAAAAUCGUUCCUCAGUUCGAGGGUCGGUUGCGAAACAAAUCGGAAGGUCGAGAGUUCGAGCCUCUCUGGGGCAG